This is a long non-coding RNA of Mauremys mutica (yellowpond turtle), 696 nucleotides long. RefSeq lists it as uncharacterized. The transcript has 3 exons. The record is from RefSeq and is a predicted model, not a curated record. NCBI's taxonomy places the organism in Eukaryota, Metazoa, Chordata, Testudines, Geoemydidae.
CUCCAAAGAAGGAUUCUCAUGUGUUACCUCUGAUCCAGUAAUAAGCAGGCAUAUUGGAAAUUUCAUGGAAGAGCUUGUUCUUAUCACACUUUCUGCCUAACUUGGCAGAAUCAAGAAGUUCAGCAAUCAGGAGAUAUCUAUAUCGCCACAGGAAGAGGAAUUUGGGGGGCAUAACACUGAAAUAAAGUCUUGCAUCAAUAUUAUACCAUCAGACCAGAAGCCUUUCACUGGGGACCAUUCCAGAUCUAAGGUGACCUUCCAUAACAUGGUGUCCACUCCACCGAAAUGUUUUGAAGGAUUACUGGAAGCUGCAAAUUAAAGGAGAUGCUCUGCUCUGAAAGCUGUUUUCCAGUCUGUGCCAGAACAUGUGAAGCUGUGUAGAACACUUCUGUUGAUAAACCUCCAGGCUCCAUUUCUCCAUAAUUGAUUUAGUUGUUAUUAGUUAUGCAGGGAGAGAAGAGAUCCUCAAGGCUUGGUAAGGCAGUAUUCCGUUACUAAAAGCAACCCUUUGUGAAUUAACAUUAAAAUACCAAAACCGCCUCAAUAUUAUUCCUUUAAGUCUUUUUUUCCUGGACACCAGCUGUCACAGAGGAAGUCUCCAGCCUCAUCUUCUCCUGCCUCCUUAUCCGGCUGGAGCUGCAUCAGCAUGGCCUGCAGAGUUUCCUUCACCAUCUGGAUCUCCCUCUGUAGAGACUG